Molecule: transfer RNA, 72 nt
Filed under: Candidatus Pinguicoccus supinus
Lineage: Bacteria; Pseudomonadati; Verrucomicrobiota
Rfam family: tRNA
About the family: Transfer RNA (tRNA) molecules are approximately 80 nucleotides in length.
Source: Rfam by way of RNAcentral
GUAGUCGUAGCUUAAUGGCAUAGCGGUGGGUUGUGGUUCCAUAGGUUGCGAGUUCGAAUCUCGUCGAUUACC